Molecule: ribosomal RNA, 412 nt
Filed under: uncultured bacterium
Lineage: Bacteria
Description: bacterial SSU rRNA
Rfam family: Bacterial small subunit ribosomal RNA
Source: RNAcentral
GUGCCAGCAGCCGCGGUAAUACGGAGGGUGCAAGCGUUAAUCGGAAUUACUGGGCGUAAAGCGCGCGUAGGCGGCUAUAUAAGUCGGAUGUGAAAGCCCUGGGCUCAACCUGGGAACUGCAUUCGAUACUGUAUAGCUAGAGUUUGGUAGAGGGAAGUGGAAUUCCACAUGUAGCGGUGAAAUGCGUAGAUAUGUGGAGGAACACCAGUGGCGAAGGCGACUUCCUGGACCAGAACUGACGCUGAGGUGCGAAAGCGUGGGUAGCAAACAGGAUUAGAUACCCUGGUAGUCCACGCCGUAAACGAUGUCAACUAGCCGUUGGGGGAAUUUGUCCCUUAGUGGCGCAGCUAACGCGAUAAGUUGACCGCCUGGGGAGUACGGCCGCAAGGUUAAAACUCAAAGGAAUUGGCGG